ACACAAACACAGCACACUCUCACACAUAUACAGCACAAACACACACGCACAUGUGUGUGUGUGUGUGUGUUUGUGCUGUAUAUGUGUGAGAGUGUGCUGUGCUUGUGUG
Pelobates cultripes (western spadefoot toad) is the source of this 109-nucleotide non-coding RNA. Lineage: Eukaryota; Metazoa; Chordata; Amphibia; Anura; Pelobatidae. The record is from the annotation of a GenBank genome assembly.